RNAcentral lists this ribosomal RNA (301 nucleotides) under uncultured bacterium. RNAcentral describes it as "partial 16S ribosomal RNA". It matches the Rfam family "Bacterial small subunit ribosomal RNA", at positions 509 to 809 of the family's 1533-position model. The record is from RNAcentral.
CAGUCUCCGCGGGAAUACGUAGGUGGCAAGCGUUGUCCGGAAUUAUUGGGCGUAAAGGGCUCGCAGGCGGUUUCUUAAGUCUGAUGUGAAAGCCCCCGGCUCAAUCGGGGAGGGUCAUUGGAAACUGGGAAACUUGAGUGCAGAAGAGGAGAGUGGAAUUUCACGUGUAGCGGUGAAAUGCGUAGAGAUGUGGAGGAACACCAGUGGCGAAGGCGACUCUCUGGUCUGUAACUGACGCUGAGGAGCGAAAGCGUGGGGAGCGAACAGGAUUAGAUACCCCAGUAGUCCCUGUCUCUUAUAU